This 799-nucleotide ribosomal RNA is filed under the name Pediococcus parvulus. Its description in RNAcentral is "bacterial SSU rRNA". It matches the Rfam family "Bacterial small subunit ribosomal RNA", at positions 9 to 759 of the family's 1533-position model. The record is from RNAcentral. Lineage: Bacteria; Bacillati; Bacillota; Bacilli; Lactobacillales; Lactobacillaceae.
GAGUUUUGAAUCAUGGCUCAGGAUGAACGCUGGCGGCGUGCCUAAUACAUGCAAGUCGAACGCACUUUCGUUGAAUGAAUUAGAGGUGCUUGCACCGAAGAUGAUUUUAGCUAUAAAGUGAGUGGCGAACGGGUGAGUAACACGUGGGUAACCUGCCCAGAAGUGGGGGAUAACACCUGGAAACAGAUGCUAAUACCGCAUAACAAAGUAAACCGCAUGGUUUACUUUUAAAAGAUGGCUUCGGCUAUCACUUCUGGAUGGACCCGCGGCGUAUUAGCUAGUUGGUGAGAUAAAGGCUCACCAAGGCAGUGAUACGUAGCCGACCUGAGAGGGUAAUCGGCCACAUUGGGACUGAGACACGGCCCAGACUCCUACGGGAGGCAGCAGUAGGGAAUCUUCCACAAUGGACGAAAGUCUGAUGGAGCAACGCCGCGUGAGUGAUGAAGGCUUUAGGGUCGUAAAACUCUGUUGUUGGAGAAGAACGUGUGUGAGAGUAACUGCUCAUGCAGUGACGGUAUCCAACCAGAAAGCCACGGCUAACUACGUGCCAGCAGCCGCGGUAAUACGUAGGUGGCAAGCGUUAUCCGGAUUUAUUGGGCGUAAAGCGAGCGCAGGCGGUCUUUUAAGUCUAAUGUGAAAGCCUUCGGCUUAACCGAAGAAGUGCAUUGGAAACUGGAAGACUUGAGUGCAGAAGAGGACAGUGGAACUCCAUGUGUAGCGGUGAAAUGCGUAGAUAUAUGGAAGAACACCAGUGGCGAAGGCGGCUGUCUGGUCUGUAACUGACGCUGAGGCUCGAAAG